AUGCCUGCGCGCGGCAACAUCGGGGUGUCCAUCUUGGCACCAAUGCUGGACAAGGUCUGGUGGCGGUGCUCGUAUGCCAAGCCGAUUUACGGCCUUGGUCUUUGGGGCCUCUCAGAGGUGGGCUUGAACACAGAAGAGACACACUCCAGGAGAGACGCCUGUGUGCAGCUCCCUAGCGUCCAUGUCCUGUCCCUACACAUGUCUCCUGUCCAGGAUUCAGUUAGCUUUCCAAAUGCAGAUCUCAGCUUUUUUGCGGCAGAGAUCGAUAAACAUAUGGUUACCAACUUCUCUGGUCUGGACCUACAUCUCAGCACCAAGGGCCAUGUGUUUGGAGCUUUUGUGCUGCAUCUCCUUGGGAUGCAUCGGAUUGGUACAGCUUUACGGAACCUUAAGAUUGUCCUGCUAAGAUCAGAGGUAAUUUAUCAUACAUUUUUGCUUAUGCAGUUGGAAUAUAUGCAGUACAUGUUCAGCCAAUAA
RNAcentral lists this ribosomal RNA (477 nucleotides) under Triticum aestivum (bread wheat). Its description in RNAcentral is "partial small subunit ribosomal RNA". Lineage: Eukaryota; Viridiplantae; Streptophyta; Magnoliopsida; Poales; Poaceae. The record is from RNAcentral.